Molecule: long non-coding RNA, 814 nt
Filed under: Mytilus galloprovincialis (Mediterranean mussel)
Lineage: Eukaryota; Metazoa; Mollusca; Bivalvia; Mytilida; Mytilidae
Source: RNAcentral
CACAAGCACGAAGUCAGGUAAAGUAUUAACUCUUUCUUCAGUUUUAUUGGCCAAAAAAUUUUUUUUACUGAUACAUGUUGAUCUAUUAGAUAAACAUAACCUAGUCAAUAGUUUAUUAUUGUAUUUUUUCUGUUGAAAUUUUUUUAAUAACUUUUGUGGAUUAAGAUUCGUGUUUGGUUUUCUUUUUCAUUUUCCGAAUAUUUUUUAAAAUGUUUUUAGUCUUUUUCUUUUAUGUUUUAUUAAUACAAGUAUAGUUCUGUUAGAUUACAAAAUUCAUAUUCAAAAGUUUAUUACUUAUUGAAAUCUGAUUUUUUUUCAGUUGCGCUUUUUGAAUAACUUUUUGUGGAAUAAGAAGUGUGCUUGUUACUUUUAUUUACAUUUCUUUUUUAUAUAUAUAUUUUCUUCCUUAAAAUAACGCGCGCGUAAAACAAUUAAUUUAAAAAAAUAUAUAUGAUCCUGAAUAAUCCCAAGUAUAUUCGUAGAUAUAUUCAGAUACAAUAUAAAAUGAUACAUUAUAGUAAGCUGGUGAUACAUGAUUCUAUAAAUUCUAAAUUUGAAUAUGAAUUUUGAUUUAAAUGAUUAUUUUCUUUGUUUUAGAAUGAAACUUGCCAUCACAACUGUUGCUAUCUUGGUCUGCCUUUGUGGCAUGACAAUUGCUGAUGAUUAUUACGGAGGCUCCGGAUAUUCCGGAAGCUAUGGUGGUGGAGUCGGUGGAUACUCCGGAAGUUACGGUGGCAUCGGAGGAUAUGGUGGAAGCAUGGGUGGAUAUGGCGGUUAUUCAGGAUACGGACAAAAGGGAUACUCUGGUUACGGC